RNAcentral lists this ribosomal RNA (392 nucleotides) under uncultured bacterium. RNAcentral's name for it is "bacterial SSU rRNA". It matches the Rfam family "Bacterial small subunit ribosomal RNA", at positions 29 to 420 of the family's 1533-position model. The record is from RNAcentral.
AUUGAACGCUGGCGGCAUGCCUUACACAUGCAAGUCGAACGGCAGCACGGGAGCAAUCCUGGUGGCGAGUGGCGAACGGGUGAGUAAUAUAUCGGAACGUGCCCGGUCGUGGGGGAUAACGUAGCGAAAGCUACGCUAAUACCGCAUACGAUCUACGGAUGAAAGCGGGGGAUCGCAAGACCUCGCGCGAUUGGAGCGGCCGAUAUCAGAUUAGGUAGUUGGUGAGGUAAAGGCUCACCAAGCCGACGAUCUGUAGCUGGUCUGAGAGGACGACCAGCCACACUGGGACUGAGACACGGCCCAGACUCCUACGGGAGGCAGCAGUGGGGGAAUUUUGGACAAUGGGCGGCAAGCCUGAUCCAGCAAUGCCGCGUGCAGGAUGAAGGCCUCGG